AGGGGACUAGCGUUGUUCGGAAUUACUGGGCGUAAAGCGCACGUAGGCGGAUCGGAAAGUAUAGGGUGAAAUCCCAGGGCUCAACCCUGGAACUGCCUUGUAAACUCCUGGUCUUGAGUUCGAGAGAGGUGAGUGGAAUUCCGAGUGUAGAGGUGAAAUUCGUAGAUAUUCGGAGGAACACCAGUGGCGAAGGCGGCUUACUGGACGAUAACUGACGCUGAGGCUCGAAAGCGUGGGGAGCAAACAGGA
RNAcentral lists this ribosomal RNA (249 nucleotides) under Pseudopedinella elastica. RNAcentral describes it as "partial Bacterial small subunit ribosomal RNA". It matches the Rfam family "Bacterial small subunit ribosomal RNA", at positions 529 to 777 of the family's 1533-position model. The record is from RNAcentral. Lineage: Eukaryota; Dictyochophyceae; Pedinellales.